AAUGAACGCUGGCGGCGUGCCUAAUACAUGCCAGUCGAGCGAACAGACGAGGAGCUUGCUCCUCUGACGUUAGCGGCGGACGGGUGAGUAACACGUGGAUAACCUACCUAUAAUACUGGGAUAACUUCGGGAAACCGGAGCUAAUACCAGCUAAUAUAUUGAACCGCAUGGUUCAAUAGUGCAAGGCGGUUUUGCUGUCACUUAUAGAUGGAUCCGCGCCGCAUUAGCUAGUUGGUAAGGUAACGGCUUACCAAGGCGACGAUGCGUAGCCGACCUGAGAGGGUGAUCGGCCACACUGGAACUGAGACACGGUCCAGACUCCUACGGGAGGCAGCAGUAGGGAAUCUUCCGCAAUGGGCGAAAGCCUGACGGAGCAACGCCGCGUGAGCGAUGAAGGUCUUCGGAUCGUAAAACUCUGUUAUUAGGGAAGAACAAAUGUGUAAGUAACCAUGCACGUCUUGACGGUACCUAAUCAGAAAGCCACGGCUAACUACGUG
This 497-nucleotide ribosomal RNA is filed under the name uncultured bacterium. RNAcentral's name for it is "partial 16S ribosomal RNA". It matches the Rfam family "Bacterial small subunit ribosomal RNA", at positions 29 to 507 of the family's 1533-position model. The record is from RNAcentral.